This 121-nucleotide ribosomal RNA is filed under the name Crocodylus porosus (Australian saltwater crocodile). Lineage: Eukaryota; Metazoa; Chordata; Crocodylia; Crocodylidae. The record is from RNAcentral.
UAAUACAGCCGUAUGAGACUGAAUGCACACCUACACUUAUCUGAUUUUGGAAGCCAAGCAGUCACAGGUUUGACUAGUACUUGGAUAGGAGCCCAGCCUUGAAUCCUGGGUGCUGUAGGCA